UUCCCAUCGAAAUCUUCAAAAUCUUCAAAGUUCUCUUCAAUUGGAUCUCGUUUCAAGUUACAACUUCAAUCUUUGAUGGAGACCUUAAAUUCAACAGAGCCUCAUUAUAUCAGAUGUGUGACAAACAAUGUUCUCAAGCCUGCUAUUUUUGAAAAUCUCAAUAUCAUCCAACAAUUGCGCUGUGGUGGUGUUCUUGAGGCAAUUAGAAUCAGCUGUGCUGGAUAUCCUACAAGAGGGACUUUUUAUGAGUUUCUUAACCAAUUUGGUGUUCUUGCCCCUGAAGUUCUAGAUGGAAAGUAAAUUA
Non-coding RNA from Arachis ipaensis, 304 nucleotides. The record is from RefSeq and is a predicted model, not a curated record. Lineage: Eukaryota; Viridiplantae; Streptophyta; Magnoliopsida; Fabales; Fabaceae.